UCCAGGGUAGUCUAGUGGACAUGGCAUCUGCCCGGUAAGCGGAAGGUCGUGGGUUCGAUUCCCGCCCCUGGAC
Cordylochernes scorpioides is the source of this 73-nucleotide non-coding RNA. The record is from the annotation of a GenBank genome assembly. Lineage: Eukaryota; Metazoa; Arthropoda; Arachnida; Pseudoscorpiones; Chernetidae.